RNAcentral lists this microRNA (21 nucleotides) under Ananas comosus (pineapple). RNAcentral describes it as "microRNA s0236_c086". The record is from RNAcentral. Lineage: Eukaryota; Viridiplantae; Streptophyta; Magnoliopsida; Poales; Bromeliaceae.
CUUGAUUGCGCUAUAACUGAG